GCUUAUAUAGUUUAAUUAAAAUUUUAAUUUGUGGAUUUAAUGAUGUGAAUUUCACUAUAGGCC
Molecule: transfer RNA, 63 nt
Filed under: Euparatettix variabilis
Lineage: Eukaryota; Metazoa; Arthropoda; Insecta; Orthoptera; Tetrigidae
Description: tRNA-His
Source: RNAcentral